GGGAGUAUAGCUCAGUUUUAGAGCAUUUGACUACAGAUCGUGAAAUCCCCGGUUCAAUCCCGGUAUCCUCU
Molecule: non-coding RNA, 71 nt
Organism: Trichonephila clavipes
Lineage: Eukaryota; Metazoa; Arthropoda; Arachnida; Araneae; Nephilidae
Source: the annotation of a GenBank genome assembly